This 1574-nucleotide long non-coding RNA is filed under the name Pavo cristatus (Indian peafowl). RNAcentral describes it as "lncRNA (ENSPSTG00000008738.1)". Lineage: Eukaryota; Metazoa; Chordata; Aves; Galliformes; Phasianidae. The record is from RNAcentral.
UAGCGGCGCCGGGACGAAUCCCUCGCGGCUCCUUCCGAGGCGCUCUCAGGCAUUUAUCGGUCACCUCGAAGCACCGGCGCUGCCUUUCCGCCCCGCCGCGGGCUCGCGGUGCGCGUCCGGCCGCUCCGGUCCUGCAGCGGGCGGGCACACGCGCUGUCAGCGGCUCCGUUCCCUCAGCGCUCCCCCAGCCCCGCGCGCCGCCGACGCCCGUUAACGACCGUUACCCGGGGCGCGAGGCGGCCCCGCGCGAGCUGCAGCCCUCGCCUCGCGCCCCUGCCUCGCGCUCAGCCGCUCACGCGCCGCUCGGAGGAGCAGAAGCGGAGGAGCUGCGCGUUGUCCGCGCGGGACGGAGCGUUCGCUCCCCUCCGUCCCCAGGCAACGCCGUCGGGCUUCCCGAAGCCGCUGCGGGGCACCCAAACAGCGGCCGCCCCGGCAACGCAGCGCGUGUGCUCGCAACGGGGGGCACCGGCGCGAGGGAGCGCCGCCCCGCGCUCCUACCUGGGAGGGGCCGCCCCCGAGCCCCGUCCUGCCGCCGCCGCGCCGGGCUCAUGGGCUCAGCCGCGCCGCCCCGCCGGCCGCCCGACGGAAGGCGGCCCGGGCCAUUACCCCGGCGCGGCGGCGGGGCCGGCCCUUCGCUUGAGCCGGUCGGGGCGGGCAGGGGGAGGGCUGUGCGGCCGGGGCCGCCCCUCGGGGCUUUGACAGCGGCGCGGCGGGGAGCGGGGUCCGCCCGCGGGCUCGGGCUGGCGGAGAGGGGCAGGGCCGGGCGCCCCGCGCCGGCUCCGGCCGCUGCGGCGCGUCGCCGAGGAGCAGCAGAGGGUGCCGAGGCCGUGCCGAGCGCCCGGGCGGCGGGAGGAGCGAGAUGCUCUGAAUGCUGUACAUUUGGUGUGAGGGAGGCAGCCCUCCCCAACAGACACAAGAUGUGGAGAAGAACACGCUGUUCUGGGAACAGAGGCCGUGCUCACCCGGCUCCGAAGCGCUGGUGGCGAGGAGGGGCUGGGGGCAAAGCACAUCGCAGCUCCCAGCUUCGGCAGCACCUUGCACUGAGGCCCUCCGCAGCCAGCUGAUUAUCCACCGCAGGUUAUCUCGUGGAGAUGUAGAUGUUGUAGCUCAAGCUGCAGGUUAUGAAUAGGAUACAGGUGAUGAAUAACAAGAGACUUGCCCAUCUGCCCACUCACUUCUACUUGGUGACUGAGGGAAGAGAAGGCUAACUCUAUCCCCAGCUGGAUUGAAAUCUCAGCUCACAUGAACCAAGAAAAAGCCAGACCAUAGCCAGGGUGCUGACCUGGGUCCUUGUCACUGAAACACCAAGCAGCCAUGAGACAGCUUCCUGCCCUUGUGUUUUUGGCACCUGGUGCUGGGGAACAAGGCACUCACACCAAAACCAGCUAGUGGACUGUAUUAGCCACAGAAACUGGGCAGUCCUACACCACCACAGUACAGUCAGCAUAACUGCCCUGAGCGUGCACAAAAGGUCACGCUGCAGAAAGAAGAAACCCAGAGAAGCUGAGAACUCCAGUUCCCUGAGUAGUUGUUCUGUGGUAGGAGAGGAAUGAAGCACAACAGUUGAGCGUAAG